ACAACGAAGAGUUUGAUCCUGGCUCAGGAUGAACGCUAGCGACAGGCCUAACACAUGCAAGUCGAGGGGCAGCACAUGAGUAGCAAUACGAUGGUGGCGACCGGCGCACGGGUGAGUAACACGUAUGCAACCUGCCUUCUACUAUGGGAUAACCCGUUGAAAAACGGACUAAUACCGUAUAAUACAGGGGCUCCGCAUGGAGAUAUUUGUUAAAGAUUAAUUGGUAGAAGAUGGGCAUGCGUAUGAUUAGAUAGUUGGUGAGGUAACGGCUCACCAAGUCAACGAUCAUUAGGGGUUCUGAGAGGAAGGUCCCCCACACUGGUACUGAGACACGGACCAGACUCCUACGGGAGGCAGCAGUGAGGAAUAUUGGUCAAUGGACGAGAGUCUGAACCAGCCAAGUCGCGUGAAGGAAGACGGUUCUAUGAAUUGUAAACUUCUUUUGUACAGGAAUAAAGUGGAUUACGUGUAAUCUUUUGUAUGUACUGUACGAAUAAGGAUCGGCUAACUCCGUGCCAGCAGCCGCGGUAAUACGGAGGAUCCGAGCGUUAUCCGGAUUUAUUGGGUUUAAAGGGUGCGUAGGUGGAUUGAUAAGUCAGUGGUGAAAGUUUGCAGCUUAACUGUAAAAUUGCCGUUGAAACUGUCGGUCUUGAGUGCAAAUGAGGUAGGCGGAAUGUGUUGUGUAGCGGUGAAAUGCUUAGAUAUAACACAGAACUCCGAUUGCGAAGGCAGCUUACUGGGAUGCAACUGACACUGAUGCACGAAAGCGUGGGUAUCAAACAGGAUUAGAUACCCUGGUAGUCCACGCAGUAAACGAUGAAUACUAGCUGUAUGCGAUACACCGUAUGUGGCACAGCGAAAGCGUUAAGUAUUCCACCUGGGGAGUACGUUCGCAAGAAUGAAACUCAAAGGAAUUGACGGGGGCCCGCACAAGCGGAGGAACAUGUGGUUUAAUUCGAUGAUACGCGAGGAACCUUACCCGGGCUUGAAAUGCAGAAGACGGAUCGGGAAACCGAUUUUCCAGCAAUGGCUUCUGUGUAGGUGCUGCAUGGUUGUCGUCAGCUCGUGCCGUGAGGUGUCGGCUUAAGUGCCAUAACGAGCGCAACCCUUGCCAAUAGUUACUAUCAGGUAAUGCUGAGGACUCUAUUGGGACUGCCAUCGUAAGAUGCGAGGAAGGUGGGGAUGACGUCAAAUCAGCACGGCCCUUACGUCCGGGGCGACACACGUGUUACAAUGGGGAGUACAGAGGGUUGCUACCUGGUGACAGGAUGCUAAUCUCUUAAAUCUUCUCUCAGUUCGGAUCGAAGUCUGCAACUCGACUUCGUGAAGCUGGAUUCGCUAGUAAUCGCGCAUCAGCCAUGGCGCGGUGAAUACGUUCCCGGGCCUUGUACACACCGCCCGUCAAGCCAUGGAAGCCGAGGGUACCUGAAGUACGUGACUGUAAAGAGCGUCCUAGGGUAAAAUUGGUGACUGGGGCUAAGUCGUAACAAGGUAGCCGUACCGGAAGGUGCGGCUGGAACACCUCCUUU
Molecule: ribosomal RNA, 1529 nt
Filed under: Paludibacteraceae bacterium
Lineage: Bacteria; Pseudomonadati; Bacteroidota; Bacteroidia; Bacteroidales; Paludibacteraceae
Description: bacterial SSU rRNA
Rfam family: Bacterial small subunit ribosomal RNA
Source: RNAcentral